AGAGUUUGAUCCUGGCUCAGGACGAACGCUGGCGGCGUGCUUAACACAUGCAAGUCAAGGGGAAAGUACACUUCGGUGUAUGAUUAUACUGGCGAACGGGUGCGUAACGCGUGGGCAACCUGCCUUAAGGCCGGGGAUAACCUUGGGAAACCGGGGCUAAUACCGGAUAUGUCAUGAACUCACUUGGGUUUAUGAUGAAAUGAUGCAACUGCAUUGCCUUAAGAUGAGCCCGCGUCCCAUUAGGUAGUUGGUAGGGUAGUGGCCUACCAAGCCGACGAUGGGUAGCUGAUCUGAGAGGAUGAUCAGCCACACUGGGACUGAGAUACGGCCCAGACUCCUACGGGAGGCAGCAGUGAGGAAUAUUGCGCAAUGGACGAAAGUCUGACGCAGCAACGCCGCGUGGGUGAAGACGCUUUUCGGAGUGUAAAGCCCUGUCAGGUGGGAAGAGAGGCAGAACGAGUGGAAAGCGUUUUGCACGGGACGGUACCACCAGAGGAAGCUCCGGCUAACUCCGUGCCAGCAGCCGCGGUAAUACGGGGGGAGCAAGCGUUGUCCGGAAUCAUUGGGCGUAAAGGGCGCGUAGGCGGAAGAGUCAGUCAGAUGUGAAAUGUCCCGGCUUAACCGGGGAGUUGCAUUUGAAACUGCUUUUCUUGAGUGUCGUAGGGGAUGAUGGAAUUCCAGGUGUAGCGGUGAAAUGCGUAGAGAUCUGGAAGAACACCGGUGGCGAAGGCGGUCAUCUGGACGAAUACUGACGCUGAGGCGCGAAAGUGUGGGUAGCAAACAGGAUUAGAUACCCUGGUAGUCCACACAGUAAACGUUGGGCACUAGACGUUGGUCCCGCUCGGGAUCGGUGUCGUCGCAAACGCAUUAAGUGCCCCGCCUGGGGAGUACGAUCGCAAGGUUGAAACUCAAAGGAAUUGACGGGGGCCCGCACAAGCGGUGGAGCAUGUGGUUUAAUUCGAUGCAACGCGCAGAACCUUACCGGGGCUUGACAUGAUAGUGGCGCGGGUAGAGAUAUCCGUUUCCUUCGGGACACUAUCACAGGCGCUGCAUGGCUGUCGUCAGCUCGUGUCGUGAGAUGUUCGGUUAAGUCCGGCAACGAGCGCAACCCUUGUCCUUAGUUACCAUCGGGUCAUGCCGGGGACUCUAAGGAGACUGUUGGUGACAAACCAAAGGAAGGUGGGGAUGACGUCAAGUCCUCAUGGCCCUUACGUCCCGGGCCACACACGUGCUACAAUGGUCGGUACAACGAGGAGCGAACUCGCGAGAGUAAGCGAACCUGGAAAAACCGAUCUCAGUUCGGAUUGUAGUCUGCAACUCGACUGCAUGAAGUUGGAAUCGCUAGUAAUCGCAGAUCAGCACGCUGCGGUGAAUACGUUCCCGGGCCUUGUAUACACCGCCCGUCACGCCAUGGGAGCCGGUAGCGCCCGAAGCGUCUCCGUAAAGGGGAUUCGAAGGUGAGACUGGUGACUGGGGCGAAGUCGUAACAAGGUA
This 1494-nucleotide ribosomal RNA is filed under the name metagenome. RNAcentral describes it as "bacterial SSU rRNA". It matches the Rfam family "Bacterial small subunit ribosomal RNA". The record is from RNAcentral.